RNAcentral lists this ribosomal RNA (468 nucleotides) under uncultured bacterium. RNAcentral describes it as "partial 16S ribosomal RNA". It matches the Rfam family "Bacterial small subunit ribosomal RNA", at positions 28 to 507 of the family's 1533-position model. The record is from RNAcentral.
GACGAACGCUGGCGGCGUGCUUAACACAUGCAAGUCGAGCGGGAAGGCCCUGCUGUUGUGGGGUGCUCGAGGGGCGAACGGGUGAGUAACACGUGAGUAACCUGCCAUUUACUUUGGGAUAACUUCAGGAAACUGGGGCUAAUAACGGAUAGUAGCUCCUGCUGCAUGGUUGGGUUUGGGAAGUUGAGGCGGAUGGGGAUUGGCUCGUCGCUUAGCAGGUUGUUGGGGGGGUAGCCGCUUACCAAGGCUUUGGCGGGUAGCCGUCCUGAGAGGGUGACCGGCCAACGUGCGAGUGAGAUACGGCACGGACUCGUACGGAAGGCUGGAGAGGGGAAUAUUGAAUGAUGGGCGGAAGCCGGGUGCAGGAACGAGGCGUGCGGGAUGACGGCCUUCUGGUUGUAAGCCACAAUCGCCUGUGAGGAAGGGUGGAUGACGGUAAUGGGUAAAGAAGCACCGGCUAACUACGUG